This 460-nucleotide ribosomal RNA is filed under the name uncultured bacterium. RNAcentral's name for it is "partial 16S ribosomal RNA". It matches the Rfam family "Bacterial small subunit ribosomal RNA", at positions 338 to 795 of the family's 1533-position model. The record is from RNAcentral.
CCUACGGGUGGCAGCAGUGAGGAAUAUUGGUCAAUGGACGAGAGUCUGAACCAGCCAAGUAGCGUGAAGGAUGACUGCCCUAUGGGUUGUAAACUUCUUUUAUAUGGGAAUAAAAUGUUCCACGUAUGGGAUUAUGUAUGUACCAUAUGAAUAAGGAUCGGCUAACUCCGUUCCAGCAGCCGCGGUAAUACGGAGGAUCCGAGCGUUAUCCGGAUUUAUUGGGUUUAAAGGGAGCGUAGGUGGAUUGUUAAGUCAGUUUUGAAUGUUUGCGGCUCAACCGUACAAUUGCAGUUGAAACUGGCAGUCUUGAGUACAGUAGAGGUGGGCGGAAUUCGUGGUGUAGCGGUGAAAUGCUUAGAUAUCACGAAGAACUCCGAUUGCGAAGGCAGCUCACUGGACUGCAACUGACACUGAGGCUCGAAAGUGUGGGUAUCAAACAGGAUUAGAUACCCUAGUAGUC